GAAGCGUCUCUGGGGAUGGCCCUUUAAAUCUGGCAGAGUCAAGCAACUGCAGCCCUAAAGUGACCAUUUUGUAGCUGUUGGCUGCAUCUCUCUCCCAGAGGGAAAGUACCUGUUAUGUUUUCCUUUAUUGCUGAAGAGAUGGGCACAGUCUUGUAGACCACAGCAGAGUGGAGACUGUUUAUAGAAACAGCGAUGUGGUAUCUGUUGGUUAAGUAAAUUGUAGUGCUGGAGUACAUGCAUUUUGUGAUUGUAACAGGAAAAGGAGUUGGGCAAACACACUGUAUGUAUAAAAAUUAUUCUUGCUGUGUUGGCUAAGGUGUUAAGAUCCUGCUGGUCCAUCAGGAUUGCUUGUUCCUCACGUUAGAACAUUCACUAUUGUCAUAUUCUACUAUAAUGAUACUUACCAAUUCUGUAGUGCUUUAAACCUGAGCAUCUCUGAGCACUUUACAGAUAUUUAGGUCCUGAUUCAGUAAAGCCCUUAAGCUUAUGCUUAACUUUAAGAACAUGCUUUAAUUUCAUUGAUUUAAGAACAUGUGCUACCCAUCUGUGUGUCUGUAGUCACUUGUCUUAAACUUAGAUUGUACUCUCUUUGAGCAGGGACCAUCUUUUUGUUCUGUGUUUUUACAGUGCCUAGCACAGUGGGGUCCUGGUCCAUGACUCGGGCUCCUAGGUGCUAUGACAAUACAAAUAAUAAAUAAGAAGUUACACAUGUUUAAGCACUUUGCUAAAUUUGACUUUUAAUCAUUAAGGCCCAGACCUAAAAUCUCUGUGAGGUAGGUUUAGUGGUUUACAUUUGAAAAAGCCUGUAACUUGCCCAAGAUCAAACAGCUAUAAGCUCCGGACCAUACUUUGUUUUUAUCCUGUUUAGUAAAAAAAAUUACUAAUAAAUGCUAGUCUGGAUUGGACAGCUGAAAUCAGGAAUGUAGACAAAACUACUAUCACUGGACCUAUACGUUGCAUAGAUAUGGAUUAAACACUGACACUAUUUGCUAAAAUUGCAGGGCAGGAAAGGUCAACCACAUCCAGUUCCUCAGACUCGCUAUGGAAAUCCAAGGGGAGAGUAUGUUAUGAAUCCUAGUACACUUUUAUCAUCCUAAGUGUUCCUGAAACUCUUUUUUAGGCUCUUUUCUUCUGCUUCAAAAGGGUGUAUAAUCAUAGUGGUAUCCUGUCUACUGUAGACUGAGCUAUAUUAACAGAACACAUUUAAUUUAGGGCUUAGAUGGAGCUAUAGUCCCUUUGUACCAAUCAAUAAUUUAUCCACUGUUUCCCCUUUCUGUAUUAGGCAAUGCUUUUACAUAUAUAUAUAAAAUAAGUAUUAAAUAAAAUUAGGUAGAAAUAAUCAGAGUUGAUCAUCUCAGUAUCAGUUAUGGGCAUGUAACCGAUAUUGAGCUGAUCAACUCUGAUUAUUUCCACCCAAUUUUAUUUAAUAUUAUAGUGCUUGUCCAUUUGAUUCAAUAACCUUAUUUGUCUAGUCUUUCAUUUUCUCUCUCAACUACUUAAUUUUUUAUUCUCUGCACCUCAGUUUGCUGCUUGGAUUAGUGGGAGACUGAGACACCAGACUGAAUAUCAGUGAGAGACGGUGUAAAGUUCAAACGGUAAGUCUUUUCUACCUGCUUUGGUGAACCAAAUUCUGUCAUAGCAUUUUGAAAAGGGGUUUGGGGUUUUUUUUUUUUUUUUUUUUUACAAAUACUUAUAAUGGGAGUAAAAUAAACAGCUUAGGUAGUGUAACAAAAGCAGUAAAGAUAUGAAACCAAUGGUAUUAUUGACAAAAAUAUCUGAAUGGGAAUCUGUAGAAAGGCUUAAUAGCCACUGCAGAUACACCACAGCUCAUUGAUGAACUGGUAACUCUAAGUUUAAAGUCACUUGCCAUAAAUACAAGCAAGAGAUGAAAACUCCUGAAAAACAUUUCCAUUUUAAGAGGGAGGUUUAUUAAAUUCUAAUAGUGUUUGUGUUUCCUUUGUAUUGCAGAGUAGUUGGACAGAGGAGGGCAGCUUACUUGUCCCAGCACCAUUAGACAUGGGAUGGAAUCAUGGUCCUAUUGAAUUCCAUGGGAGUUUUGCCAUUAACUUUAAUGGGGCAAGAAUUUCACCCAACUCCUUCCAUUGAACUUGAUAAAUGGACUUCAGUAGGGACAGAGAGGGCUCCUGGAGGAGAGAGUAGCAGUUUGGUGGCUCUGGCUUGCACAUGGACCUGCUGUAAAUGGCCACGCAGAAGCUGCAGAGAAGGAAUGACCAUCAGAAAUGGCCUAUAUUCUAGGAACCCCUGAGGGACGCAUCUUACCAGGAGAAAGCUGACUCCAGAGUGCUCAGCCUCUAUGGAGCUGGAGAAGGCCUUAGCUAGGCAAAGGGAUGCCCUUUUCUUGCACUGGAUAGCCCCUACCUGAAUAGGCUGCUGAUGGCUUCCUUCAUGCCCCAGCCAAGUUUUCUUCCUUGUCCCCCCGCGUGGAGGGCAGCACCCGGCUGUGCAUAUUACAGCCCAACGCCGAUUGUAAGGGGCAAUGCUCUACUGCGGCCAAGGUAUUGAUUCAGCCCCUCUUGUUCUGCUUUUCGGGGACCUACCUCGCUGGCUGGCUAAGGCCAGAGAGCACUUGCCCCUGGUUGGGUGUGGGGGCAAGGCAGCCUCGGGCACGCAUGUGUCUUCCCCACUGCUGGCUCGCUGCUGCCCCUCGCGUGCCUCGGCUCGUGGCCAAAGCACGUCCCCAAAAGUUGUCCUGGCUGCUGCAAGCCACGCGCGGGAGCCCAUCUGUUCUGCCGCAGAACUCCGCGGGCGCCGUGCAAACGGACAACAAUCGCACACCGCGCCUGGAGCCGUCACCCCGGCGGGGUGCAGAGCCCCGUGUGCAUCACCACUGCGGGGGGCGGGGGGUCUGUAACAUUGUGCGUUACCGGUUACAGCCAGGAUCUCCCGGCUCAGCAAGCAAAGGAGCGAUUAAAUAUUUACUGCUAUCCGGGCCCUGCUUUUCGGAAGUGUGUUCGUGUUGGGGGGCGCGGAUAUUUUGCGGGGAGUCAUGUCAGCUCUUGUAUAUCCCUUUGUCAGUGCAAGCACUCCAGCAAGAGAAAGAAAGGAAAGUCUGAAAGGAAAGGCCGAAAUUAAAGCAAUCAGAGGGUUGGGUUUUUUUGUUUGGUUGGUUUUUUUUUUUUUGCAAGCAGUGUUUCCACUGAUUGUGUUUUACACCGAGAUAAUUCGCUCUAGAAUUAGACCUUGGAGAAAACUUUACAACAACAGUAACAACAACAACAACAACAACAGAAAGCAAGAGACAAAAAGUCCGCAUGAUUACUGGGGAGACCGCAUAACUUAGAUUCACCCUCGAGAUAAGAAGAGGAAGUGAAACUCAUUAGGGCUAGUGAAUAGACAGGGCUCUCGCUGAAUUGUUAUUUAGAUGCCUUGCGAAGGGAAGGUCGAAUUAUUUGAUCAGACUAUCGAACAUGUUCCGGAAUUGAAGGUUGAUGUGAAAAGAGAUAGCGAGUGGUUGAGUUGAAUGAGUAGUUCCCCUCCGCAGCCCUGCUCCUGGCAUAAGAAAGGGGAAUCGCUAGACCGGGGGUGAGGACAGGUUUGCGUAAAACGACCUCUCCCAUUUGUUUGUUACCAGUGGUCGCGGAUGGUUAAGUAAAUACCAGCUGCUGCCCCAUGAAGAGAAGUACAACUGUUCGCCCUAGAAGGGCGCCGCUGCUAUCGUGAUUAAUGCAACGGGAUUAAUUCAGCUGUCGCUUUUGGACCAGACAAACUCAAAGACCUGAUCCAAAGCCCCAGCCUUAGUCCAAUAACUAGAGAUUUAAACGGACUUUGGCUCAGGCCCUAAACACUGAACUGGAUGGCAAACUAUUCCUGCCGUGAUGGCCAUCAAACUCAAUGUAGUAAAUAUUUCCCCCUCUAAGUAGCUAUUCAGAGAUGAAUUCAAACUUGCUCGUGUCUCCGACUGGGCAGUGAUGCAGUAAUAGAGCCGGAUUCUGCUGUAAAAUAAAUCUUUCCGGACCUCAACCCAACACCCCCCAGAUGAAUGCACGUUAAGUACUUUGCUUUAGUACCAUACAACGCUGCGUGGAUCUGAGGGGUUCCGUUUACUCUGCCCCGCCGAAGAGCACCCCCCCCCAUGCCGGUAAAGAGGGCGCAGUUUUCUGAAAAUAACGUUCUUUGGGAAUCGGUCCAUCUGGUGGGCGGUCACUGGUUAUAACCUGCCCCUAGGGACAGUACCCGAGGGCCAGUCGCUGUCAGGCGAACUGCUGCGUGCUGAAGUUCCCCCGAGCCCAAGCCCUGCGCUGACUUCACGCCAGCCACACCCGGCUCCACGUUCUCUGCUCCCGGGGAA
This is a long non-coding RNA of Chelonia mydas (Green sea turtle), 4309 nucleotides long. RefSeq lists it as uncharacterized. NCBI's taxonomy places the organism in Eukaryota, Metazoa, Chordata, Testudines, Cheloniidae. The transcript is spliced from 3 exons. The record is from RefSeq and is a predicted model, not a curated record.